GGGUCUAUGGUGACAACGCAAUGUCACGAAGACAGGUGAUGACAAAAAAAUCAUUCUUGUUAGGAUUAUGCUGAGGCCC
Small nucleolar RNA from Psammomys obesus (fat sand rat), 79 nucleotides. RefSeq annotates it as small nucleolar RNA SNORD115. The record is from RefSeq and is a predicted model, not a curated record. Lineage: Eukaryota; Metazoa; Chordata; Mammalia; Rodentia; Muridae. The transcript has a single exon.